CUCAUUAAAAAUUAUUUGCUCUCCCUUACUUUUUCCUCCCCUUUCUCUCUCCCUCUCUCUCUCAUUAAUAAGUCUGGAGAAAGCCAGAUGUGAGGACACUCGGGCAGCUUAUGGAGAGGUCAUGUGGUGAGGAAUGGAGGCCUCGGCCAACAGCCAGUAACCAUGUGAGUGAGCUUUUAAGUGGAUUCCUUAACACCAGUCAAGGUUAGAGAUGACUAUAGCAUCAGUUCACAGCUUGACUGCCACCUCAUGAGAGACCUUGAGCCAUAAAAAUUCGGGCCAAGAAUGGAAAACAAGGCACUGGGAAGAACAUCAUGAGCAAAGGAAUGAAGAGGGGCUGAAAUGCUAUGUUGUCAUAUUCUGGCUGGAAACACAGCAAAAAUAGAACAAUAACUUGUCAAAACUUCUCUUGUUCUUCUAUGACUUGGAUGAGGAUAGAGACUGCAGCAAAAUGGUCACCAUCCGAAUCAACUUGAGGACAACAAAGAAGCUAGGAUUACAAAUUUUGGCAAUUCAAAUAUGGAAUAACAGGUUCCUGAAGUAUGAUUAUGCAUUGUCUUUCCAAGGAGGCUCCAGGUUCAGCGUAGUUGCAUUUAAACUCUGGUUCCAACACUUGCAAACAAGUCCUUGGAACUCGGGGAAGUUAACCUUGCUCAGCUGUACUUUUCUCAUCCUUAAGACAGCAAUAAUAACAGGACCUACCUCAUAUACGGAUGUUGUGAAGAAUGAUAUCAUACAUGUGAAGCACAUACAUGGCACACAUUAAACUCUGGAUAAAUAUGAACCAUUACUGUAACACAUACAGGUGAUUAAAUAAGGACUGGCUACCACAAUGUUAUCAGAUGCUCAAGCGAAAGAUAUGGGGGACAUCUUUAACCCUACCUUUCCUCUCAUCACUACAGCAAAUCUGUGACAAAGUCCUAUCUUUUUAAAUUUUAAAAUAAAUCCUAAAUCCAUACUCUUCUCUCCACCUCCACUGUAACUGCUGGUACCCAGGGCACCAUCAUCCCUUCUGGCCAAUGGCAUCAGCUUCUCACAGGUCCCAGCUUCCAAUCUCCUUCCUCUCUAGUCCACUCUCCAAAUUGCAGCCAGAGCUGACUUAUAAAGCUACAAAUACUAUCAAGUGCGGGCACUUGAUAGUUCUGUCCUCUAUUUCUCUCUGUUUUUAGAAUAAAACCAAACUCAGUCCCAUCA
Molecule: long non-coding RNA, 1194 nt
Organism: Symphalangus syndactylus (siamang)
Lineage: Eukaryota; Metazoa; Chordata; Mammalia; Primates; Hylobatidae
Source: RefSeq, a predicted model, not a curated record